Molecule: long non-coding RNA, 287 nt
Organism: Penaeus monodon (black tiger shrimp)
Lineage: Eukaryota; Metazoa; Arthropoda; Malacostraca; Decapoda; Penaeidae
Exons: 2
Source: RefSeq, a predicted model, not a curated record
UUGAGAUCGUUGGUGGAGUGUUGCACGUGCUCUCGCCGACGCGGUUAUUCGUACAGGGGAAAAAAUGUGACUGUAACACCGUGUCUGUGAUGAUCUAAAAUCCAGCACGUUAGGCAGGACUGGAAACGUAUCCCUCACAAAUUCAGAUGAACCGAAGUGCCAAAUGAGAUCUUGUAACAGUUAAUAUCUGGAGAAAAUGAACUUUGCUAAACGGAUGGCAACCAUGGAACUAUAGCUCACAAAAUAAAGGUAUAACAACAAUACUAAAGAGUGUGUAAAAAAAAAAA